GCCAGACUCCUACGGGAGGCAGCAGUGGGGGAUAUUGCACAAUGGGGGGAACCCUGAUGCAGCGACGCCGCGUGGGUGAAGAAGCGCCUCGGCGCGUAAAGCCCUGUCAGCAGGGAAGAAAAUGACGGUACCUGAAGAAGAAGCCCCGGCUAACUACGUGCCAGCAGCCGCGGUAAUACGUAGGGGGCAAGCGUUAUCCGGAUUUACUGGGUGUAAAGGGGGCGCAGACGGCGAUGCAAGCCAGGAGUGAAAGCCCGGGGCCCAACCCCGGGACUGCUUUGGAAACUGUGAAGCUGGAGUGCGGGAGGGGCAGGCGGAAUUCCUGGUGUAGCGGUGGAAUGCGCAGAUAUCGGGAAGAACACCGAUGGCGAAGGCAGAUCUCUGGGCCGCAACCGACGCUGAGGCGCGAAAGCUAGGGGAGCGAACAGGAUUAGAUACCCCGGUA
This 445-nucleotide ribosomal RNA is filed under the name uncultured bacterium. RNAcentral describes it as "bacterial SSU rRNA". It matches the Rfam family "Bacterial small subunit ribosomal RNA", at positions 330 to 792 of the family's 1533-position model. The record is from RNAcentral.